AGUUACACUCCCAAACCCCUGUGAACAUACCACUUGUUGCCUCGGCGGAUCAGCCCGCUCCCGGUAAAACGGGACGGCCCGCCAGAGGACCCCUAAACUCUGUUUUCUAUAUGUAACUUCUGAGUAAAACCAUAAAUAAAUCAAAACUUUCAACAACGGAUCUCUUGGUUCUGGCAUCGAUGAAGAACGCAGCAAAAUGCGAUAAGUAAUGUGAAUUGCAGAAUUCAGUGAAUCAUCGAAUCUUUGAACGCACAUUGCGCCCGCCAGUAUUCUGGCGGGCAUGCCUGUUCGAGCGUCAUUUCAACCCUCAAGCACAGCUUGGUGUUGGGACUCGCGUUAAUUCGCGUUCCUCAAAUUGAUUGGCGGUCACGUCGAGCUUCCAUAGCGUAGUAGUAAAACCCUCGUUACUGGUAAUCGUCGCGGCCACGCCGUUAAACCCCAACUUCUGAAUGUUGACCUCGGAUCAGGUAGGAAUACCCGCUGAACUUAAGCAUAUCAAUAAGCGGAGGAA
This 511-nucleotide ribosomal RNA is filed under the name Fusarium sp. X3-1 XZ-2010. Its description in RNAcentral is "eukaryotic LSU rRNA". The stretch from base 145 to 298 matches the Rfam family "5.8S ribosomal RNA". Lineage: Eukaryota; Fungi; Ascomycota; Sordariomycetes; Hypocreales; Nectriaceae. The record is from RNAcentral.